UACGGAGGGUGCAAGCGUUAUCCGGAUUUACUGGGUUUAAAGGGUGUGUAGGCGGGCUAUUAAGUCAGCGGUGAAAUCUCCGGGCCCAACCUGGAAACUGCCAUUGAUACUAUUAGUCUUGAAUUCUGUUGAGGUGGGCGGAAUAAAUCAUGUAGCGGUGAAAUGCAUAGAUAUGAUUUAGAACACCAAUUGCGAAGGCAGCUCGCUAAACAGAUAUUGACGCUGAGGCACGAAAGCGUGGGGAUCAAACAGG
This 253-nucleotide ribosomal RNA is filed under the name uncultured bacterium. RNAcentral's name for it is "partial 16S ribosomal RNA". It matches the Rfam family "Bacterial small subunit ribosomal RNA", at positions 524 to 776 of the family's 1533-position model. The record is from RNAcentral.